This is a long non-coding RNA of Myotis myotis, 568 nucleotides long. RefSeq lists it as uncharacterized. NCBI's taxonomy places the organism in Eukaryota, Metazoa, Chordata, Mammalia, Chiroptera, Vespertilionidae. The record is from RefSeq and is a predicted model, not a curated record. The transcript has 3 exons.
GCCUCAGGGCUGAUGACCUGGGUAGGAAGAGCAGCAGCAGGAAGACUCAGCCUCACAUAGGAGCAGAGUGGAGGAGGGUAGUUUGGGGACACGGAGAAUACAUGCAUUUGCAUGGACCAGCAGGGCCGUGAGUGUUGGGAAGGAGACUUAGGACCUGCUAUGAAAAGCCGUGGUCCGAAUGACCUGCCCGAAGCCAUGUUUAAAGGGAAAUCACUCCUUUCUUCUCUGCCAUGUGUUCUGCUUCCCCAAGGUGCCGGGGCUGACCAGAAGACCCUGAGCGACGGAUGAGCAGAUUACUCCAACACAGGUUUCUGCGAAAGAGAGGCUAAAGAAGUAAAAGCAGUCCUGUUCGCCUGCCUCGUUGGCUUUUUAUUGUAACAACAGCUUGAACUCAAAUUAACCUCUAGAUACAAUCAGACGGGAGGCCGGAGGUUGUUAAAUGUAAUUUCCAGUUCCUAGCCUCAGCACUAACACCAUGCCCUCACUACUCUCAAGAAAGAAUAUCUUGCCUGGCCGGGUUGGCUCAGUGGUUGAGCAUCGACCUAUGAGCCAGGAGGUCAAGGUUUGA